UGGGGAAUAUUGCACAAUGGGGGAAACCCUGAUGCAGCGACGCCGCGUGAGCGAUGAAGUAUUUCGGUAUGUAAAGCUCUAUCAGCAGGGAAGAAAAUGACGGUACCUGACUAAGAAGCCCCGGCUAACUACGUGCCAGCAGCCGCGGUAAUACGUAGGGGGCAAGCGUUAUCCGGAUUUACUGGGUGUAAAGGGAGCGUAGACGGCAAUGCAAGCCAGAUGUGAAAGCCCGGGGCUCAACCCCGGGACUGCAUUUGGAACUGUGUAGCUGGAGUGUCGGAGAGGCAGGCGGAAUUCCUAGUGUAGCGGUGAAAUGCGUAGAUAUUAGGAGGAACACCAGUGGCGAAGGCGGCCUGCUGGACGAUAACUGACGUUGAGGCUCGAAAGCGUGGGGAGCAAACAGG
Molecule: ribosomal RNA, 404 nt
Filed under: uncultured bacterium
Lineage: Bacteria
Description: bacterial SSU rRNA
Rfam family: Bacterial small subunit ribosomal RNA
Source: RNAcentral